UACGGAGGGUGCAAGCGUUAUCCGGAUUCACUGGGUUUAAAGGGUGCGUAGGUGGGUAGGUAAGUCAGUGGUGAAAUCUCUGGGCUUAACCCGGAAACUGCCGUUGAUACUAUCUGUCUUGAAUAUAGUGGAGGUGAGCGGAAUAUGUCAUGUAGCGGUGAAAUGCUUAGAUAUGACAUAGAACAUCGAUUGCGAAGGCAGCUCGCUACACUAUGAUUGACACUGAGGCACGAAAGCGUGGGGAUCAAACAGG
RNAcentral lists this ribosomal RNA (253 nucleotides) under uncultured bacterium. Its description in RNAcentral is "partial 16S ribosomal RNA". It matches the Rfam family "Bacterial small subunit ribosomal RNA", at positions 524 to 776 of the family's 1533-position model. The record is from RNAcentral.